RNAcentral lists this small RNA (918 nucleotides) under Pongo abelii (Sumatran orangutan). Its description in RNAcentral is "retained intron". Lineage: Eukaryota; Metazoa; Chordata; Mammalia; Primates; Hominidae. The record is from RNAcentral.
AGCCUGCCUCUCCAUCUCCUCAGCUCCCACCCCCCAUAUCCUUGAGCCUCAGCUCAAAGGCAUCGUCACCAAACUGUUCUGCCGCCAGGGUUUCUACCUCCAGGCGAAUCCCGACGGAAGCAUCCAGGGCACCCCAGAGGAUACCAGCUCCUUCACCCACUUCAACCUGAUCCCUGUGGGCCUCCGUGUGGUCACCAUCCAGAGCGCCAAGCUGGGUCACUACAUGGCCAUGAAUGCUGAGGGACUGCUCUACAGUUCGGUGAGACAAUGAGGCUGAGUGGCCGGGAAAUACUGGGGACUCCCCUUCUUCAAUUUGUCCCUUGAGGGAAUGACAACCUUCCUCAACUACAGACAUUUUGCCCGGGACUCCUCCCUCCAGCUUUUGCUGAUGGCCUGUCAUCACUGCCAGUUCCAGACCAGCUCCUCUAGGGUCUCUCCAAUCCCCACUCCUUGCACACCCCCCAAACAGCCCCAGGUUCUUUGAAUGUCCAACUCUUUCUGCCUUUUAGGGCCCCUACUUCUUAUCCUACCUCAUCCAGAUUUUGUCAUUACUCACUUCCCUAGAGUCAUCCAGGAUAGGGGAUAGUGAGAGAUUGAGAGUACAGUGGAGAGAAGGAAUCUUAUUGCAAGACCCCUAAAAGUCUAGUUCUUUUUUUUUUUUUAAAUAGUGACAGGGUCUUGCUAUGUUGGCCAGGCUGGUCUCGAACUCCUGACUUCAGGUGAUCCACCCGCCUCCGCCUCCCAAAGUGUUGGGAUUAUAGGCAUGAGCCACCGUGCUUGGCCCAGAGCCUAGUUCUUAGCCCUCAGCCCUCUUCCUUGUCCUCCCUUUGCUCCCAGGUCCUACAUGGACUCAGAAGUUGUCCUCCCCCUCCCCUAAAAAACGUACGGAUUUGUGCUUUCCAUGAGCUCCUUUCUGCC